This 164-nucleotide ribosomal RNA is filed under the name Leptinella nana x Leptinella minor. RNAcentral's name for it is "5.8S ribosomal RNA". It matches the Rfam family "5.8S ribosomal RNA". Rfam says of the family: 5.8S ribosomal RNA (5.8S rRNA) is a component of the large subunit of the eukaryotic ribosome. It is transcribed by RNA polymerase I as part of the 45S precursor that also contains 18S and 28S rRNA. Lineage: Eukaryota; Viridiplantae; Streptophyta; Magnoliopsida; Asterales; Asteraceae. The record is from RNAcentral.
AAACGACUCUCGGCAACGGAUAUCUCGGCUCACGCAUCGAUGAAGAACGUAGCAAAAUGCGAUACUUGGUGUGAAUUGCAGAAUCCCGUGAACCAUCGAGUUUUUGAACGCAAGUUGCGCCCGAAGCCUUUUGGUCGAGGGCACGUCUGCCUGGGCGUCACRCA